GGAGGAGUGGCUGAGUGGUCGAAGGCACCAGUCUUGAAAACUGGAGAUCGGGAAACCGGUCCGUGGGUUCGAACCCCACCUCCUCCG
RNAcentral lists this transfer RNA (87 nucleotides) under bacterium. Its description in RNAcentral is "tRNA-Ser". It matches the Rfam family "tRNA". From Rfam's summary of the family: Transfer RNA (tRNA) molecules are approximately 80 nucleotides in length. RNAcentral also lists the same sequence under 1 other name. The record is from RNAcentral.